UUGUUCUUCCUAUGGUGUUGCAAACCCCUUCAGCUCCUUCAGCCUUUUCUCUAGCUCCUCCAUUGGGGUUCCCUUGUUCAGUCCAAUGGUUAGCUGCAAGCAUCUGGCAGAGGCCAGUAGCAGCACUGAGGUGUACUGUUUGCCUCCAACCAGAAACAAAGAGGAAUGUAAACCUGAGAUGCUAUCCUAAUUAGGGCAGUUACUAUUCAGCACCUCUCCCUUGUAGUUCUAUGUAGCUCCUGGCAGAAUAAACUAGAAAUAUUUCUAACUUAGACCCAAGACUCCCAUCAAUUAUGACCAAGCAAUAUUUUUUCCUGAUUUUAUAUCAUGAGGUACAAAUGCAGUGAAAUGGGGAGAGAUAAACUAUAGGAAAAAAAUUAAAGUCAUUUCCUGAGGUUUACAUCAACAGUGUAGAGAAUAACGGUAGAGCCAUAGUGUGGAUGAAAGCCAAGUAGUGUUCCUCGGAAUAACGAGGACGCUCUUUAAAGGAAGAGAGGAAACUGCAGAUUAUUUAGUGGGAGUAGACUCAGCUGAAGAGAUCAGAGAAAUGGAAGGUGGAGCAGCAGGAAGGCUGUAGGGAGGGAGGAGUGACACAGUCUAGGAGCACCCUGAGGGAGAAUGGAAGAGAGGCAGCCCUUGGCAACGGGUUUCUGACACUCAUUAGCAAAACAGACUUAGUGAACAAACAAACAAGCAAAUCCACAAGUAAACCACAAGUCUGAAACAAGGUUCCUAAAAAAGCCAAAGUGGCUAUAAAGAUGGUCAGGUAAGCCGUCAGUCACAUGCACAGUGCACCGCCAGUAGCAACAGUGUAUCCAGGAAGUGGUAAAACACCUUCAUUGUUGUGAGGGGAACUGUGGGAACUGGAAACUGGUGCAAGGUGAAACUCAAACAAACCCUCAUUAAAGAAACUGAAGAAGGAUGGUCUUUGAUAAGAAAAAUUACUCAAGAAGCAAGAUUUGGAAUUGAAGUGUUCAUGAACAGACAAAAUCAAUAUUGUAAAUUUAAAGUGUUAUUUGUAUAAAGCAAUCAUAAUGAAGUAUUUAAAGAAAUUGUAGAAAUUGUAAACACAUUUAACACUGAAUAAAUAUUGUUAUGCAACAUUAAUGCGGAAUUUUAAGAUAACGAUGUAACUGGGAAAAUCUGCUUUGGGAGAUAGGAGGGUGGUGAGGAUUCAGGAGCCAAGCCAAGGUAAGGUUUGAAUGUGAUUGUUUCACAUGAAUUACUUUCAGGGCUACCUUCUCAAAGAAUACUCAGGUGGUGAAACAUCCCAGCGACACAAUACAAAUAAAGGGGGACAUUAGAGGGCCACUGAAAGGUGGAGUAAUACUGACUGCACACCUCACAGCUACGAGGCUCUGGGCCUUGC
RNAcentral lists this long non-coding RNA (1369 nucleotides) under Rattus norvegicus (Norway rat). RNAcentral's name for it is "long non-coding RNA NONRATT008795". Lineage: Eukaryota; Metazoa; Chordata; Mammalia; Rodentia; Muridae. The record is from RNAcentral.